Molecule: long non-coding RNA, 687 nt
Organism: Biomphalaria glabrata
Lineage: Eukaryota; Metazoa; Mollusca; Gastropoda; Planorbidae
Exons: 3
Source: RefSeq, a predicted model, not a curated record
GUUUGAGUCAAUAGCGGCAUCUAUGACUCUGGAACGAUAACCUACAUCUUACUGUAUUACACGUUUCAACUUUGUUAUAAUCUGAGUAUUAUUCUGUCUUUGCUUUCGACACAUCUCAGCCAAGACUUGUUCUAUCUCUAUCAUAGCUUGCAUUGGAAAGUUGAACAUCGGUCACGAGUCUAGGUAAAACCUAGCCGACACUCAAUUUUAACAUCAAAUCAGAAUGGCUUGAAUUAUCGACCUGUUAAUGAAUGAUUCAUUUCAUAAUGAGAGUACGAGAUCAAAGUUUUUUUUAAAGUUAGUCUUCCAUUUUAAACUUUGUUGCCACGAAUAAAACUGCAUGAUAUGCAGCGAAUUCCAGGUAUCUUGUUACCUUAUCUAAUAACAGAUCUAAAUGGCGAGUAUUUUAUGGCUACACUAAUUAACCUUGAAGCAAAAUUUACAGAAUCUAGUUUAACAGAUCUAAAAAUUAUUCUUAAUAAUGCUAGAAUAGUCCAUUAUUCGGGUGUGGCGUCUAUAAUUUCAGAAUUAAACUUCACACUCGAGUUAUUACCCCUCUAUUCAUCUUUCCUCAAUCCAAUGGAAACUCUCUUUUUAUUUCCAUCUAAUCCUUUUGCUUUCGCACAAAACAUAAACAAAAAACAAUGACGUAAUAUCAUAUAAUAUUAGCACAUCCUUCCUUUUGAA